UCAGCCUGAUCUCACACCUUAUUAACUGUGUGUGUUCACUUCAGCAUCACGCUGCAACACCAGCGAGAUACACACAUUCUUCUACCAGCCAAGUACUGUCUUAUCGCUGAUAAAAGAUAGAGAGCAGUGUGUGUGUUCCUACUCUGCCCUCUGUGUGUGUGUGUGUUCCUACUCUGCCCUCUGUGAGUGUGUGUGUGUUCCUACUCUGCCCUCUGUGUGUGUGUGUGUGUUCCUACUCUGCCCUCUGUGUGUGUGUGUGUGUUCCUACUCUGCCCUCUGUGUGUGUGUGUGUUCCUACUCUGCCCUCUGUGUGUGUGUGUGUGUGUUCCUACUCUGCCCUCUGUGUGUGUGUGUGUGUUCCUACUCUGCCCUCUGUGUGUGUGUGUGUGUUCCUACUCUGCCCUCUGUGUGUGUGUGUGUGUUCCUACUCUGCCCUCUGUGUGUGUGUGUGUGUUCCUACUCUGCCCUCUUGCAAUCAGGAAGUAGGAGAUUGUGUUUUGAGGAAGUGAACCAUGAAAGGAAAAUAGGUGUGUGUGUGUGUGUGUGGGAUCUUGUGAAUGAUUUGCUUGACUCAUCCACAGUGGGAGAGAAGGAGAUAUCUUACCCACGGCUUAUGUGUGUGUAUAUAUAUAUGCAUUCUCAGCAUGUGUGUGUUGUGUACGCGCUCUGUGUGUGUGUGUGUGUGUGUGUGUGUGUGUGUGUGUGUGUGUGUGUGUGUGUGUGUGUGUGUGUGUGUGUGUGUGUGUGUGUAUAGCAGUGUUAGUUCACUAACCCAGGGCUGUAGAGAGGCUUUUCUGCUGGAGAAAGCUCGAAGAUGGGAUGUGGGGGGUUGUGUGUGUGUGUGUAUGGAG
This 851-nucleotide long non-coding RNA is filed under the name Salmo salar (Atlantic salmon). RNAcentral's name for it is "lncRNA (ENSSSAG00000102433.1)". The record is from RNAcentral. Lineage: Eukaryota; Metazoa; Chordata; Actinopteri; Salmoniformes; Salmonidae.